This 2417-nucleotide ribosomal RNA is filed under the name uncultured Avibacterium sp. Its description in RNAcentral is "23S ribosomal RNA". It matches the Rfam family "Bacterial large subunit ribosomal RNA", at positions 627 to 2925 of the family's 2925-position model. The record is from RNAcentral. Lineage: Bacteria; Pseudomonadati; Pseudomonadota; Gammaproteobacteria; Pasteurellales; Pasteurellaceae.
CUUAUAUUUUGUAGCGAGGUUAACUGAAUAAGGGAGCCGAAGGGAAACCGAGUCUUAACUGGGCGCGUUGAGUUGCAAGGUAUAGACCCGAAAACCCGGUGAUCUAGCCAUGGGCAGGUUGAAGGUUGGGUAACACUAACUGGAGGACCGAACCGACUAAUGUUGAAAAAUUAGCGGAUGACCUGUGGCUGGGGGUGAAAGGCCAAUCAAACCGGGAGAUAGCUGGUUCUCCCCGAAAUCUAUUUAGGUAGAGCCUUGUGUGAAUACCUUUGGGGGUAGAGCACUGUUUCGGCUAGGGGCCCAUCCCGGGUUACCAAACCGAUGCAAACUCCGAAUACCAAAGAGUAAUGCACAGGAGACACACGGCGGGUGCUAACGUCCGUCGUGGAGAGGGAAACAACCCAGACCGCCAGCUAAGGUCCCAAAAUCUAUAUUAAGUGGGAAACGAAGUGGGAAGGCUUAGACAGCUAGGAUGUUGGCUUAGAAGCAGCCACCAUUUAAAGAAAGCGUAAUAGCUCACUAGUCGAGUCGGCCUGCGCGGAAGAUGUAACGGGGCUAAAAUAUAGUACCGAAGCUGCGGCAUCAGGAGCAACAUUAAUGGUUUUACGCUUAACCACGCACGAACGAAGAGAGUGCGUGGGUAAAGCAACCAAAACGUCGAGGAAUGAAACGGAAAGAAUCAUUAAUGUUGCUCCUGUUGGGUAGGGGAGCGUUGUGUAAGCGGAAGAAGGUGGUUCGAGAGGAUUGCUGGACGUAUCACAAGUGCGAAUGCUGACAUAAGUAACGAUAAAACGGGUGAAAAACCCGUUCGCCGGAAGACCAAGGGUUCCUGUCCAACGUUAAUCGGGGCAGGGUGAGUCGGCCCCUAAGGCGAGGCUGAAAAGCGUAGUCGAUGGGAAACGGGUUAAUAUUCCCGUACUUGGUAAAGCUGCGAUGUGGGGACGGAGAAGGUUAGGUUAUCGACCUGUUGGAUAUGGUCGUUUAAGUUGGUAGGUGGGUGAGUUAGGCAAAUCCGGCUCACCGUUAACACUGAGAGAUGAUGACGAGGCACUAAGGUGCUGAAGUAAUUGAUACCACACUUCCAGGAAAAGCCACUAAGCUUCAGGCUUUACUAAACCGUACUGAAAACCGACACAGGUGGUCAGGUAGAGAAUACUCAGGCGCUUGAGAGAACUCGGGUGAAGGAACUAGGCAAAAUAGCACCGUAACUUCGGGAGAAGGUGCGCCGGCGUAGAUUGUAGUGACUUGCUCACGAAGGUUGAACCGGUCGAAGAUACCAGCUGGCUGCAACUGUUUAUUAAAAACACAGCACUCUGCAAACACGAAAGUGGACGUAUAGGGUGUGAUGCCUGCCCGGUGCUGGAAGGUUAAUUGAUGGUGUAAUCGAAAGAGAAGCUCCUGAUCGAAGCCCCAGUAAACGGCGGCCGUAACUAUAACGGUCCUAAGGUAGCGAAAUUCCUUGUCGGGUAAGUUCCGACCUGCACGAAUGGCAUAAUGAUGGCCAGGCUGUCUCCACCCGAGACUCAGUGAAAUUGAAAUCGCCGUGAAGAUGCGGUGUACCCGCGGCUAGACGGAAAGACCCCGUGAACCUUUACUAUAGCUUGACACUGAACCUUGAAUUUUGAUGUGUAGGAUAGGUGGGAGACUAUGAAGCGGUAACGCUAGUUAUCGUGGAGUCGUUGUUGAAAUACCACCCUUUAACGUUUGAUGUUCUAACGAAGUGCCUGAAACGGGUACUCGGACAGUGUCUGGUGGGUAGUUUGACUGGGGCGGUCUCCUCCCAAAGCGUAACGGAGGAGCACGAAGGUUUGCUAAUGACGGUCGGACAUCGUCAGGUUAGUGCAAUGGUAUAAGCAAGCUUAACUGCGAGACAGACAAGUCGAGCAGGUGCGAAAGCAGGUCAUAGUGAUCCGGUGGUUCUGAAUGGAAGGGCCAUCGCUCAACGGAUAAAAGGUACUCCGGGGAUAACAGGCUGAUACCGCCCAAGAGUUCAUAUCGACGGCGGUGUUUGGCACCUCGAUGUCGGCUCAUCACAUCCUGGGGCUGAAGUAGGUCCCAAGGGUAUGGCUGUUCGCCAUUUAAAGUGGUACGCGAGCUGGGUUUAGAACGUCGUGAGACAGUUCGGUCCCUAUCUGCCGUGGGCGUUGGAGAAUUGAGAGGGGCUGCUCCUAGUACGAGAGGACCGGAGUGGACGCAUCACUGGUGUACCAGUUGUCUCGCCAGAGGCACAGCUGGGUAGCUAAAUGCGGAAGAGAUAAGUGCUGAAAGCAUCUAAGCACGAAACUUGCCUUAAGAUGAGUUCUCCCAGUCUAUAAGACUGUAAGGGUUGUUUGAGACUAAGACGUAGAUAGGCUGGGUGUGUAAGCGGUGUGAGCCGUUGAGCUAACCAGUACUAAUUGCCCGAGAGGCUUAACUAU